This 253-nucleotide ribosomal RNA is filed under the name uncultured bacterium. RNAcentral's name for it is "partial 16S ribosomal RNA". It matches the Rfam family "Bacterial small subunit ribosomal RNA", at positions 524 to 776 of the family's 1533-position model. The record is from RNAcentral.
UACGUAGGGGGCUAGCGUUGUCCGGAAUCAUUGGGCGUAAAGCGCGUGUAGGCGGUCCGGUAAGUCCGCUGUGAAAGUCGGGGGCUCAACCCUCGGAUGCCGGUGGAUACUGUCGGGCUUGAGUACGGAAGAGGCGAGUGGAAUUCCUGGUGUAGCGGUGAAAUGCGCAGAUAUCAGGAGGAACACCAAUUGCGAAGGCAGCUCGCUGGGACGUUACUGACGCUGAGGCGCGAAAGCUAGGGGAGCAAACGGG